CCCAAGCCCUGGCCUUCCACUUCCGGGGACUCCAUGUCCCAGAAUCCCUGAUCUUGGGCCAAGGCAGCUGAGGCUUCUGGGUGCUAAAGUCCAAGAAAUCCCAGAGGAAUAGAGUUUGGGAAUCCCUGCUCAAGAGAGUGGAGGGAAUAAUGAUAAUAAUAGUAAUAGUAAUAACUUUAUUUCUAACCCUCCCUCUCUCCCCAAAGGGAAUGGCUCUCUUGGACUACAACGCCCAGAAACCCUCCUGGCAUGAGGGUUGGAGGAACCUGGGAGUUCUAUCCCAAGACAAAUAUCUCCCAAGUCCUUGAGGAGGAGGCGGGGGAGGGGGAGGCGGCAGCCUUGGCCUAGGACUGAGACACGAGGAAUCCCCGAAGCCAGAGGGUUGGGAGAGACCCCAAGGGCCACCCAGCCCCACCACCUUCUGCCAGGCAGGGAAACACAAUCCAAAUCCUCCCGACAGAUCUCCAUCCAGCCUCUGACUAAAUCCUCCAAAGAAGGAGCUCCCACCAGACUCUGAGGCAGAGAGUUCCCCUGCUGAACAGCUCUUCUUCUUGCCCUCAGGAAGUCCUUCCUCGUGUUUGGGAGGAAUCCCUUUUCUUGCCGUUUGACCUCCUGGCUCCGUUGUCCCUUAGUCUCCAGAGCAGCAGAAAGGAAGCCUUUCCCCCUCCUCUUCCUCACCAAUGGGACAUCUUUUUGGAUUUUGAAACAUGCCUGCAGUCAAAUCUGGAUGACUGACAGAACUUGGAGGACUCUCCUCAAAAAUAAAACUUGACAAGCCUAGCAAACAUAGUCACAUAGUAUAAAUGUACACAGAAUAAACACUUCAAACAGCUCAGACCUUAUUAAGUAGUCAGAUGGUGUCCAAUUGAGAUCAAUUCCAGUAUCUAGACAGGAUUUAAUAUAUCUAGAUAAUGAUACAUAUCGAGUCGUAUUAGUCUUCCUCCUCUCAGUAGGCCAGAGUGCAUAGAUGUGUUUUUAGUUUGAAGGCAAGGAGGGAGGGGGCAGUUUUUCGUUCUUUUGGGAGGGAUUUCCAGAGGAGGGGAGGAACACGGAGAAGGCCCCCUUUCUCGUUCCCACCAGCCGUGCUUGAGACGGGGGUGGGACCGAGAGCAGGGCCUCCUCCGCAGAUCGCAGUGCUCGAGCCGGUUUGUAAACAGGGACGCGAUUCUGCAAAUAGUCUGCAUCUCCGUUUACAAACCGGUUCGAGCACUGCGAUCCUAAACUCAACAAGCUCUAUGAGGUAUGACGAGCCAGAUGAGAGCCCGAGUCUCUUCUGGUGUGGGAGAAUCAGCCAUCUACAAAGAUGUUGCCAAGGGGAAGCCGAGCACUUGAUGAACCAACAUAGUAUAUUAUUUGAGAACACAGAAAUGUUGGAUUACUCUGACAACUACCAUGUCAGACUACACAGAAAAGCCAUUGAAAUCCACAAGCAUGUGGACAAUUUCAACAGAAAGGAGAAAACCAUGAAAUUGAACACAAUCUGGCUACCAGUAUCAAAAAAGACUCUAAAAUCAGUAAAUAAAAAUCAACACUCAAAAAAUGAGAAUUGCAGGCAUGAAACAAUGGGUCAGCUAACACCUCCCAACAAAGGAUUCCCCCAGGCAGAAAGCAGGCAGGCUUUAAAAAUGAAAUUCAGUGUCAAUCAAGGUGGCCAGCUGCAACAUUCACACUUGCCUCGGGCAGACAAGAGUUCUUUCUCCCACCCUUGUCAUUACACAGAUAUAUAAACCCCACGUGCCUAGUUUCCAACAGACCUCCAUUAUGAAAACGGGUGCCUUUUGGGAGAUUGGAAUGGAGUGAUUUCACCAAAGAAAGACAAACUCUCGGGGAGGGGGAUGCAAAGAAUAUACUGUAUAUACGCAAGUAUAAGCCUCUCCUCCUUUCCCGUGCAGCGCACACCUUCCUCUCCUCGGCACUCGUCUUUCCCACUUUUCUUUAUUCGUAUACACACUGCAUUUCCCCCAAAAUGUAUAGUUAAAAUAAACUAUGGUGAUUAUUGGAAGAAUAUAUAAGCACAUUUACAUUGAAGAAGCUUAGAAUAAUAAUUUAAUCACAGUUGGAAAGUCUUAAAUUGCAGUUGUAUGUAAAUAUUCAAAAACAUUUAACCUUCUGAUGCCUCCAUUAAUCUAAUUUUAUUGCUAUCUAUUUUUAUUUUGAAAUGUACCAGUACCUGCUGCAUUUCCCACCCCGUCUUAUACUUAAGUCAAUAGUUUUUCCCAGUUUUUUGUGUUAAAUUAGGUGCCUCGGCUUUUACUCGAGUAUAUACAGUACACAAUUUUCAGAAAGACAAAAUACUUUCUCUAGAAUGGAAAAGAUAUGGAUAUCUGCCAAACUCAAAACCUGUUCAAAAGACAGAACUCCUACCCAAAACUAUCUCAGAUCAUAAUCCAGUGACUCUAGUAAUUAAAAAGAAAGUAAAAAAUGGCCCUUCCCCAUUUCGGCCCAUUUCGGCACAUGUUGCACUUUGCCUGGGUUCUAUGAAUUAGACUCCAGUGUUAAUAUUGUAUGUUUUAUGUUGAUUUAACGAUUGUUUUUACUGUAAUUGAUGUUUUUAUUGGAUAACUGUUUUAUUGCUGUGUUUUGAUAUUUGAUUGUUUUAUCGGGCAAGGCCCCAUGUAAGCCGCCCCGAGUCCCUUCGGAGAGAUGGGGCGGGGUAUAAAAAUAAAGUUAUUAUUAUUAUUAUUAAAAACACUUAGAUGGCAGCUGAAUGAAUCACUACUGCAAAAGGAGGACGUAAUUGAGAAUUUGAAAGAAAAACUGAAAGAAUAUUUGGAACUUAAUUUAAAUCAAGUUACAGAUAUUCAAACAGUAUGGGAUGCCAGUACAGCUUAUAUUAGAGGAUACUUUAUAAAAUGCAACACUGAAAUGAGAAAGAAUAGACAGAAAUAUUUUCAGAUAAUUUCAGAUGAUAUUAAAAAAAGAAGAGGAGUUAAAGAAAAAUCCUUUGAAUUCAAACAUUCUAACUCAGAUAAAACUCCUACAAAAGCAAUUAUUGUGUUACUAGUUAAUGAAUUGGAAACUAAAAUAAAGAAUGCAAAAAAAAAUAUUUUGAAUCAGCUAACAAACCAAGGAAAUAGUUAGCAUAUACGUUGAGGAAAGAAAGCCCAAAAAUGUAAUUGUCAAUUCUUUAUUUAUGUAUUUAUUUAUUUAUGACAUUUCUACCCCGCCUUUCUCUACCCUGAACGGGACUUACUGUUAAGAUACAACAUGACGAUAAAAUAUUAAUAGAUGAUAUCAAUAUUCAACAGGCUUUAAAACAUUAUUACAUUAAUUUAUAUAAGGCUGACCACAUAUCUCUACAAGACAUUGAGAAUAAUUUAAUUCAGCGAAAGACGCCAAAAAUAAAUGUUCACAGUUCACAGCCUGUUAUGCCUUCAGCUUUGCUGCAUUGUUGGAUUUUAAUCGGUAGGGUUGGAUUUUAUUUUGUGCAGAGUAUCUUUGCGCACCGUCCCCUUUGGACCUGAGGAGGGAUUGUUUGUUGUUGGGCAAGUGUUAAAGCAUUUCUCACCAGGCAAUGGGCUCACCCUCUUCCCCUGGGUUUGUUACAGCACGAGACUUGUUUUUCAUGUUCCAUGAAAUCUUUCUCUGUUCAACUCCUGAAGAGAUUUGCCCCUCAUUUGUCUGCAGGUAACUUCUGAAAAAGCUCUGCAAAGAAUACGUUGUGAGAGCUUUGCCCAAGGAGUGCUCUAAGUCUAAAGGGACUUCAAAAUACACAGCAAUGACAACAAGAAAAAAUAAGUAGUAAAAAUAUAUUUCAAGCUACAAACCUAUGCAGUUAAGAGGAGGAAAUAAGAUUGUGCUGAAAAAAGAGAGGCUUGGGAAAGCGAGCAGAAGGCUACAGCAAUACAAAGACAAAUACAAAGUUCAGGAGGUUAUAUCUGUGAACUCCUGGCAUAAUAUUUGAAUUAUAAAUAUAAAAGAAUGGCAAGUCCUCUACCUCCCUAUCCUAGAUCACACACAGGGGAGAAGUUACAUCAGUGUCUGGAAUGUGGGAAACAAUUUGAUUGGAAAAAUUCUCUUACUGUACAUGAACGGACCCACACAGGGGAGAAGCCAUAUGAAUGUGUGGAAUGUGGAAAGAGCUUCAGUCGGAGUGACAAAUUACGUUCCCAUCAAAGGACCCACACAGGGGAGAAACCCUAUAAAUGCAUAGAAUGUGGAGAAAGCUUCAGUCGGAGUGACAGUCUACGUUCCCAUCAAAGGACCCACACAGGGGAGAAGCCAUAUAAAUGCAUGGAAUGUGGAGAAAGCUUCAGUCACAGUGGCAGUCUACGUUCCCAUCAAAGGACCCACACAGGGGAGAAGCCCUCUAAAUGCAUGGAAUGUGGAAAGAGCUUCAGUCAGAGUGACAAAUUACGUUCCCAUCAAAGGACCCACACAGGGGAGAAACCCUAUAAAUGCAUAGAAUGUGGAGAAAGCUUCAGUCGGAGUGACAGUCUACGUUCCCAUCAAAGGACCCACACAGGGGAGAAGCCAUAUAAAUGCAUAGAAUGUGGAGAAAGCUUCAGUCGGAGUAACAAUCUACGUUCCCAUCAAAGGAAGCACACACGGGAGAAGCCAUAUAAAUGCAUAGAAUGUGGAGAAAGCUUCAGUCGGAGUGACAAUCUACGUUCCCAUCAAAGGACCCACACAGGGGAGAAGCCAUAUAAAUGCAUGGAAUGUGGAGAAAACUUCAGUCAAAGUGGCAGUCUACGUUCCCAUCAAAAGACCCACACAGGGGAGAAGCCACAUAAAUGCAUAGAAUGUGGAGAAAGCUUCAGUCCGAGUAACAAUCUACGUUCCCAUCAAAGGAAGCACACAGGGGAGAAGCCACAUAAAUGCGUAGAAUGCGGAAAGAGCUUCAGUCACAGUGGCAAUCUACGUUCCCAUCAAAGGACCCACACAGGGGAGAAGCCAUAUAAAUGCAUAGAAUGUGGAAAGAGCUUCAGUCGGAGUGACAAGCUACGUUCCCAUCAAAAGACCCACACAGGGGAGAAGCCAUAUAAAUGCAUAGAAUGCGGAAAGAGCUUCAGUCGGAGUGACAGUCUACGUUCCCAUCAAAGGACCCACACAGGGGAGAAGCCAUAUAAAUGCAUAGAAUGUGGAAAGAGCUUCAGUCAGAGUGUCAAUCUACGCACCCAUCAAAGGACUCACAAAGGGGAGAAGCCAUAUAAAUGUGUGGAAUGUGGAAAGAGAUUCAGUGAGAGUGGACAUCUGCGUAUCCAUCAAAGGAUGCACACAGGAGAGAAGCCACAUACAUGCAUGGAAUGUGGAAAGAGAUUCAGUAAGAGUGGAAAUCUACGCACCCAUCAAAGGAUGCACACAGGAGAGAAGCCACAUACAUGCAUGGAAUGUGGAAAGAGAUUCAGUGAGAGUGGACAUCUGCGUAUCCAUCAAAGGACUCACACAGGGGAGAAGCCACAUACAUGCAUGGAAUGUGGAAAGAACUUCAGUGUGAGUGGACAUCUGCGUAUCCAUCAAAGGACUCACACAGGGGAGAAGCCACAUAAAUGCAUGGAAUGUGGAAAGAGCUUCAGUGAGAGUGGACAUCUGCGUAUCCAUCAAAGGAUGCACACAGGAGAGAAGCCACAUACAUGCAUGGAAUGUGGAAAGAGCUUCAGUCAGAGUGGAGAUCUACGCACCCAUCAAAGGACUCACACAGGGGAGAAGCCGCAUACAUGCAUGGAAUGUGGAAAGAGCUUCAGUCAGAGUGGAGAUCUGCGUAUCCAUCAAAGGAUGCACACAGGAGAGAAGCCACAUACAUGCAUGGAAUGUGGAAAGAGCUUCAGUCAGAGUGGAAAUCUACGCACCCAUCAAAGGAUGCACACAGGAGAGAAGCCACAUAAAUGCAUGGAAUGUGGAAAGAGCUUCAGUGAGAGUGGAAAUCUACGCACCCAUCAAAGGACUCACACAGGAGAGAAGCCACAUAAAUGCAUGGAAUGUGGAAAGAGCUUCAGUCAGAGUGGAAAUCUACACACCCAUCAAAAGAUUCACACAGGAGAGAAGCCACAUAAAUAGGACAAGUGCAAAGAAGCAGAAUGGUUGUCCAAAGAACUUCUAACGACUAUGACUCAAAAGGGACAUGAACAGGAAGUGGAAGGGGAAGAAAUCAUAUAACCAUAGAGUUGGAAGAGACCUCAUGGGCCAUCUAGUCCAACCCCCUGCCAAGAAGCAGGAAAUUGCAUUCAAAGCACCCCGGACAGAUGGCCAUCCAGCCUCUGCUUAAAAGCCUCCAAAGAAGGUUCCACAGCUGAACUGCUUUCACAAUGAGGAACUUCUUCCUUAUGUUCAGGUGGAAUCCCCUUUCCUGUAUUUUGAAGCCAUUAUUCUGCAUCCUAGUUUGCAGAGCAGCAGACAAUAAGCUUGCUCCCUCCUCCUUAUGGGAUUUUGGCCUGCAUAAAUAGGGGCAGAGUGUCUAGAUCCAGGGAAGUCAUGCUCCCCCUCUAUUCUGCCUUGGUCAGACCACUUUACCUGGAAUCACACUGUGUCUAAUUCUGGGCACUGCAAUUGAAAGGAGACGUUGACAAGCUGGAAUGUGUCCAGAGGAGGGCAACUAAAAUGAUCAAGGGUCUGGAGAACAAGCCCCAUGGGGAGCGGCUUAAAGACCUGGGCAUGUUUAGCCUGCAGAAGAGAAGGCUGAGAGGAGACAUGAUAGCCAUGUACAAAUACGUGAAGUCAUAGGGAGGAGGGAGCAAGCUUGUUUUCUGCUGCCCUGGAGACUAGGACGCAAUGGAACAAUGGCUUCAAACUACAGGAAAGGAGAUUCCACCUGAACAUCAGGAAGAACUUCCUCACGGUGAGAAGGGCUGUUCGGCAGUGGAACUCUCUCCCU
Anolis carolinensis (green anole) is the source of this 6811-nucleotide long non-coding RNA. RefSeq annotates it as zinc finger and SCAN domain-containing protein 2. NCBI's taxonomy places the organism in Eukaryota, Metazoa, Chordata, Lepidosauria, Squamata, Anolidae. The record is from RefSeq and is a predicted model, not a curated record. The transcript has 2 exons.